Transfer RNA from Camelus ferus (Wild Bactrian camel), 73 nucleotides. It matches the Rfam family "tRNA". Rfam says of the family: Transfer RNA (tRNA) molecules are approximately 80 nucleotides in length. Their secondary structure includes four short double-helical elements and three loops (D, anti-codon, and T loops). Further hydrogen bonds mediate the characteristic L-shaped molecular structure. tRNAs have two regions of fundamental functional importance: the anti-codon, which is responsible for specific mRNA codon recognition, and the 3' end, to which the tRNAs corresponding amino acid is attached (by aminoacyl-tRNA synthetases). tRNAs cope with the degeneracy of the genetic code in two manners: having more than one tRNA (with a specific anti-codon) for a particular amino acid; and 'wobble' base-pairing, i.e. permitting non-standard base-pairing at the 3rd anti-codon position. The record is from Rfam. Lineage: Eukaryota; Metazoa; Chordata; Mammalia; Artiodactyla; Camelidae.
GAGAGUAUAGCUCAAGUGGUAGAGCACAUGCUUAGCAUGCAUGAGGUCCUGAGUUCAAUCCCCAGUACCUCCU